GGUUACAGUGACAUACAGAGGGACCCUGUCCUACUCGUGCUGGAGGUUACAGUGACAUACAGAGGGACCCUGUCCUACUCGUGCUGGAGGUUACAGUGACAUACAGAGGGACCCUGUCCUACUCAUGCUGGAGGUUACAGUGACAUACAGAGGGACCCUG
Haliotis rubra (blacklip abalone) is the source of this 160-nucleotide long non-coding RNA. RefSeq lists it as uncharacterized. Lineage: Eukaryota; Metazoa; Mollusca; Gastropoda; Lepetellida; Haliotidae. The transcript has 3 exons. The record is from RefSeq and is a predicted model, not a curated record.